CCUACGGGCGGCAGCAGUGGGGGAUAUUGCACAAUGGGGGGAACCCUGAUGCAGCGACGCCGCGUGGGUGAAGAAGCGCCUCGGCGCGUAAAGCCCUGUCAGCAGGGAAGAAAAUGACGGUACCUGACGAAGAAGCCCCGGCUAACUACGUGCCUGCAGCCGCGGUAAUACGGAGGGGGCAAGCGUUAUCCGGCUUUACUGGGUGUAAAGGGGGCGCAGACGGCGAUGCAAGCCAGGAGUGAAAGCCCGGGGCCCAACCCCGGGACUGCGCUUGGAACUGCGUGGCUGGAGUGCAGGAGGGGCAGGCGGAAGUCCUGGUGUAGCAGUGAAAUGCGUAGAUAUCAGGAGGAACACCGGUGGCGAAGGCGGCCUGCUGGACUGCAACUGACGUUGAGGCCCGAAAGCGUGGGGAGCAAACAGGAUUAGAUACCCGAGUAGUC
This 440-nucleotide ribosomal RNA is filed under the name uncultured bacterium. RNAcentral's name for it is "partial 16S ribosomal RNA". It matches the Rfam family "Bacterial small subunit ribosomal RNA", at positions 338 to 795 of the family's 1533-position model. The record is from RNAcentral.